This 1288-nucleotide ribosomal RNA is filed under the name Anteholosticha paramanca. RNAcentral describes it as "LSU rRNA". It matches the Rfam family "Eukaryotic large subunit ribosomal RNA", at positions 24 to 1303 of the family's 3401-position model. Lineage: Eukaryota; Ciliophora; Spirotrichea; Urostylida; Holostichidae. The record is from RNAcentral.
CCCGCUGAACUUAAGCAUAUCACUAAGCGGAGGAAAAGAAAUUAACUAAGAUUGCCUCAGUAACGGCGAGUGAAGCGGCAAAAGCCCAAAGUGGUAAUCUUCACGCUUCGCGUGACGAAUUGUAAUCUAAAGGAGGGACUCUCACCUGGAUGUGACGCAGAAGUACCCUAGAAUGGGUCGCCAAAGAGGGUGACAGCCCCGUAUGUGGUGUUGUGUCCUAACGAGAACCUUUCAACGAGUCGGGUUGUUUGGGAAUGCAGCCCUAAUUGGGAGAUACACUUCUUCUAAGGCUAAAUAUUUAUGGGAAACCGAUAGCAAACAAGUACUGUGAAGGAAAGAUGAAAAGAACUUUGAAAAGAGAGUCAAAAGACUUGAAAUCGUUGAGAAGGAAGCGGUAGAAAUUUAUUCCGUUAGCUUGAAUGAAGGUGUUCGCCUAAACAUUGCAGGCCUGAGUACUUUAACGGCUUUGGUUUGCACUUGCGGAAGUGAUAGCUGGAUUCAAGUUGAUGAGGCAAAAUGGGGUUUUUUAGGCACAAAAGCUUAGUAUACUUGGGAAGGUUCGCCUUUCAGUUUAUUUGUGCUAGUGUCUAGAAAGCCUGAGGGUGCUUUUGCGAUUUUGCUAAAAUGGUUUUUACCGACCCGUCUCGAAACACGGACCAAGGAGUCUAUCAUAUAUGCAAGUGUGCUGGUGGAAAAACCAACACGCGUAAUGAAGGUAAUUGAUGCCAAGCGCAAGCAGCAGCAUCGACCGACCAUGAUUCUCUGAUGAAAGGUUUGAGUAUGAGCAUAUAUGCUAGGACCCGAAAGAUGGUGAACUAUGCCUGGGUAGGGUGAAGCCAGGGGAAACUCUGGUGGAAGCUCGAAGCGAUUCUGACGUGCAAAUCGAUCGUCUAACUUGGGUAUAGGGGCGAAAGACUAAUCGAACCAUCUAGUAGCUGGUUCCCUCCGAAGUUUCCCUUAGGAUAGCUGAGACAAUAACGCAGUUUUAUCAGGUAAAGCGAAUGAUUAGAGGUAUCUGGGGUAAAUUGCCCUGGACCUAUUCUCAAACUUUAAAUUGGUAAGAACUUUGGCCUUUCUUAAGUGAGGCACAAGGGAUCAAUGCUUGUCUCAAGUGGGCCAUUUUUGGUAAGCAGAACUGGCGAUGAGGGUUGCUCCUAACGUUGAGUUAAGGUGCCUAACUACACGCUCAUCAGAAACUACAAAGGGUGUUGGUUCAUCCAGACAGCAGGACGGUGGCCAUGGAAGUCGGAACCCGCUAAGGAGUGUGUAACAACUCACCUGCCGAAUG